RNAcentral lists this ribosomal RNA (612 nucleotides) under uncultured bacterium. Its description in RNAcentral is "bacterial SSU rRNA". It matches the Rfam family "Bacterial small subunit ribosomal RNA", at positions 338 to 944 of the family's 1533-position model. The record is from RNAcentral.
CCUACGGGAGGCAGCAGUGGGGAAUUUUGGACAAUGGGCGCAAGCCUGAUCCAGCAAUGCCGCGUGAGUGAAGAAGGCCUUCGGGUUGUAAAGCUCUUUUGUCAGGGAAGAAACGGUCUACUCUAAUACAGUGGGCUAAUGACGGUACCUGAAGAAUAAGCACCGGCUAACUACGUGCCAGCAGCCGCGGUAAUACGUAGGGUGCAAGCGUUAAUCGGAAUUACUGGGCGUAAAGCGUGCGCAGGCGGUUAUAUAAGUCAGAUGUGAAAUCCCCGGGCUCAACCUGGGAACUGCAUUUGAGACUGUAUGGCUAGAGUGUGUCAGAGGGGGGUAGAAUUCCACGUGUAGCAGUGAAAUGCGUAGAUAUGUGGAGGAAUACCGAUGGCGAAGGCAGCCCCCUGGGAUAACACUGACGCUCAUGCACGAAAGCGUGGGGAGCAAACAGGAUUAGAUACCCUGGUAGUCCACGCCCUAAACGAUGUCUACUAGUUGUCGGGACUUAAUUGUCUUGGUAACGCAGCUAACGCGUGAAGUAGACCGCCUGGGGAUACGGUCGCAAGNUUAAAACUAGAGAUGACGNNGAGAGNGCGACGACGACGACGAGGGAGGAGG